This 200-nucleotide unclassified non-coding RNA is filed under the name soil metagenome. RNAcentral's name for it is "partial contains internal transcribed spacer 2 and large subunit ribosomal RNA". The record is from RNAcentral.
CCUGUUCGAGCGUCAUUAUGACCACUCAAGCCUAGCUUGGUAUUGGGGUUUCGCGUGCUCGCGACCCUUAAAAUCAGUGGCGGUGCCGUCUGGCUCUAAGCGUAGUAAUUCUCUCGCUACAGAGUCCCGGCGGUGUCUUGCCAAAACCCCAACUUUCUUAGGUUGACCUCGGAUCAGGUAGGGAUACCCGCUGAACUUAA